UUAGAGUUUGAUCCUGGCUCAGGAUGAACGCUGGCGGUAUGCUUAACACAUGCAAGUCGAACGGUGUCUUCGGACAUAGUGGCGGACGGGUGAGUAACGCGUGAGAAUCUAGCUUCAGGUCUGGGACAACCACUGGAAACGGUGGCUAAUACCGGAUGUGCCGGAAGGUGAAAGGCUUGCUGCCUGAAGAUGAGCUCGCGUCCGAUUAGCUAGUAGGUGGGGUAAGAGCCUACCUAGGCGACGAUCGGUAGCUGGUCUGAGAGGAUGACCAGCCACACUGGGACUGAGACACGGCCCAGACUCCUACGGGAGGCAGCAGUGGGGAAUUUUCCGCAAUGGGCGAAAGCCCGACGGAGCAAUACCGCGUGAGGGGGGAAGGCUCUUGGGUUGUAAACCUCUUUUCUCAGGGAAGAACACAAUGACGGUACCUGAGGAAUCAGCAUCGGCUAACUCCGUGCCAGCAGCCGCGGUAAUACGGAGGAUGCAAGCGUUAUCCGGAAUGAUUGGGCGUAAAGCGUCCGCAGGUGGCUGUGUAAGUCUGCUGUCAAAGAGCAAAGCUCAACUUUGUAAAGGCAGUGGAAACUACACGGCUAGAGUGCGUUCGGGGCAGAGGGAAUUCCUGGUGUAGCGGUGAAAUGCGUAGAGAUCAGGAAGAACACCGGUGGCGAAGGCGCUCUGCUAGGCCGCAACUGACACUGAGGGACGAAAGCUAGGGGAGCGAAUGGGAUUAGAUACCCCAGUAGUCCUAGCUGUAAACGAUG
RNAcentral lists this ribosomal RNA (761 nucleotides) under uncultured bacterium. RNAcentral describes it as "bacterial SSU rRNA". It matches the Rfam family "Bacterial small subunit ribosomal RNA", at positions 1 to 811 of the family's 1533-position model. The record is from RNAcentral.